This 1234-nucleotide ribosomal RNA is filed under the name Brachybacterium sacelli. RNAcentral describes it as "bacterial SSU rRNA". It matches the Rfam family "Bacterial small subunit ribosomal RNA", at positions 53 to 1299 of the family's 1533-position model. RNAcentral also lists the same sequence under 1 other name. Lineage: Bacteria; Bacillati; Actinomycetota; Actinomycetes; Micrococcales; Dermabacteraceae. The record is from RNAcentral.
GCAUAGCAGUCGAACGAUGAUGGUGGUGCUUGCAUCACCUGAUUAGUGGCGAACGGGUGAGUAACACGUGAGUAACCUGCCCCUCACUUCGGGAUAACCUCGGGAAAUCGUGGCUAAUACCGGAUAUGAACUUCUACCGCAUGGUGGUUGUUGGAAAGAUUUAUCGGUGAGGGAUGGACUCGCGGCCUAUCAGUUUGUUGGUGAGGUAAUGGCUCACCAAGACGAUGACGGGUAGCCGGCCUGAGAGGGCGACCGGCCACACUGGGACUGAGACACGGCCCAGACUCCUACGGGAGGCAGCAGUGGGGAAUAUUGCACAAUGGGCGAAAGCCUGAUGCAGCGACGCCGCGUGGGGGAUGACGGCCUUCGGGUUGUAAACCUCUUUCAGUAGGGAAGAAGCGAAAGUGACGGUACCUGCAGAAGAAGCGCCGGCUAACUACGUGCCAGCAGCCGCGGUAAUACGUAGGGCGCAAGCGUUGUCCGGAAUUAUUGGGCGUAAAGAGCUCGUAGGUGGCUUGUCGCGUCUGCCGUGAAAACCCGAGGCUCAACCUCGGGCGUGCGGUGGGUACGGGCAGGCUAGAGUGUGGUAGGGGAGACUGGAACUCCUGGUGUAGCGGUGAAAUGCGCAGAUAUCAGGAAGAACACCGAUGGCGAAGGCAGGUCUCUGGGCCAUUACUGACACUGAGGAGCGAAAGCAUGGGUAGCGAACAGGAUUAGAUACCCUGGUAGUCCAUGCCGUAAACGUUGGGCACUAGAUGUGGGGGACAUUCCACGUUUUCCGCGUCGUAGCUAACGCAUUAAGUGCCCCGCCUGGGGAGUACGGCCGCAAGGCUAAAACUCAAAGGAAUUGACGGGGGCCCGCACAAGCGGCGGAGCAUGCUGAUUAAUUCGAUGCAACGCGAAGAACCUUACCAAGGCUUGACAUGCACCGGGCGACUGCAGAGAUGUGGUUUUCUUCGGACUGGUGCACAGGUGGUGCAUGGUUGUCGUCAGCUCGUGUCGUGAGAUGUUGGGUUAAGUCCCGCAACGAGCGCAACCCUCGUUCUAUGUUGCCAGCACGUCAUGGUGGGGACUCAUAGGAGACUGCCGGGGUCAACUCGGAGGAAGGUGGGGACGACGUCAAAUCAUCAUGCCCCUUAUGUCUUGGGCUUCAAGCAUGCUACAAUGGUCGGUACAAUGGGUUGCGAAACUGUGAGGUGGAGCGAAUCCCAAAAAGCCGGCCUCAUUUCGGAUU